Molecule: ribosomal RNA, 497 nt
Filed under: uncultured bacterium
Lineage: Bacteria
Description: partial 16S ribosomal RNA
Rfam family: Bacterial small subunit ribosomal RNA
Source: RNAcentral
GAUGAACGCUGGCGGCGUGCCUAAUACAUGCAAGUAGAACGCUGAAGGAAGGAGCUUGCUCUUUCCGGAUGAGUUGCGAACGGGUGAGUAACGCGUAGGUAACCUGCCUGGUAGCGGGGGAUAACUAUUGGAAACGAUAGCUAAUACCGCAUAACAGUAGAUGUUGCAUGAUAUCUACUUAAAAGGUGCAAUUGCACCACUACCAGAUGGACCUGCGUUGUAUUAGCUAGUUGGUGAGGUAACGGCUCACCAAGGCGACGAUACAUAGCCGACCUGAGAGGGUGAUCGGCCACACUGGGACUGAGACACGGCCCAGUCGCCUACGGGAGGCAGCAGUAGGGAAUCUUCGGCAAUGGACGGAAGUCUGACCGAGCAACGCCGCGCGAGGGAAGAAGGUUUUCGGAUCGUAAAGCUCUGUUGUAAGAGAAGAACGAGUGUGAGAGUGGAAAGUUCACACUGUGACGGUAUCUUACCAGAAAGCGACGGCUAACUACGUG